AAUCAUAUGUGAUUUCUUAGAUCGUUGCGUCCCUUCGGGGAUGUUUGGAUAACUGUGGCAAUUCUAGAGCUAAUACAUGCAAUCAAGCUCCAACCUUCGUGGGACGAGCGCUCUUAUUAGACCAAGGCCAACCUGCUGGGCAACUGGCAGUUAGCUGUGGUGACUCUGGAUAAACAUAGUUGAUCGCACGACUUUACGUCGGCGACGUAUCUUUCAAGCGUAUGCCCUAUCAGCUGUCGACGGUAGGGUAGCGG
Molecule: ribosomal RNA, 254 nt
Filed under: Spirobranchus triqueter
Lineage: Eukaryota; Metazoa; Annelida; Polychaeta; Sabellida; Serpulidae
Description: partial small subunit ribosomal RNA
Rfam family: Eukaryotic small subunit ribosomal RNA
Source: RNAcentral